ACCAAUCACCGCGUCUUUCUUCUCUCCAUUCUUGAAAAUCAUGACAGUUGGGAUACUUCGGAUACCAUAUUCACUUGCAAUGGAGGGGCUUUCAUCUGUAUUCAGCUGGAAGAAACUGAACUUGCCAGCGUAUUCCUGUGCUAGUUCGUUAAUGAUGGGAUGGAUCAUUUUGCACGGACCACACCACGGAGCCCAAAAUUCAACCAGGACGGGUAACUUAGACUCGAUUACAAGUGACUUCCAUGUUUUAUCAGUAACAGCAGCAGCUGCAUUUUCCAUAAAUCAUGUCAAUUACACAAAGAAAGAAGCUGAUAACUGGGGCAAGUUUCUGCAGAAGCAAUGCCUUUAGGAGCAAAUCAUGCUCCAAUUCACGCUAACAUCAAAGCAACUUAAAAAUGAUAAACAAUACGAAAUUUUUACUACCCGAGAUAGAUGAUGCAUCAAAUAUCUUAAUAUCCUCUUCAGUCAAAAGCCAAAGGUAGGGGUAAGGUUUGCGUACACCCCACUCUCACCAGACGCCACUUAUGAGAUUACAUUGGGUAUGUUGUUAGUUGUUAGUUAGUCAGAAGCCAAAGGAACAAAUUUUACAACAUCUAAUCUCAUUUUUCCAAUUAAUUAUUAACUUUAGAUGCUAGUGAAAUCCUUAUAAAAGUCGGCAUGGUGCAUAGAGCAUCCUACAUUCACGUAGGGUCUAGGGAAGGAUCACACCCUAAGAAGGGAGUAAUGUAAGCAGCCUACCCUGACAAAAGAGCCAAUGGCUGAAUAAUUCAUGACUCAGACUCAUGACCUAUAGAUUUUAUAAAUCAUGGCAAAGACAACUUUAUUGUUGCUCCUCCCCUUCUAGUGCAUCUCUAUACUAUCAUAAGAUCACAAAAUAAUGCUUCCCAAUUCACCGAAGAAUGAAGCCUAAAAAGUUCUCAUUCCCGAUAUCUGAAGUAGUAACACAAGGUCAAAGAGAAGGCACAACUUACAUCUAUAUUGCUCAGACUCAUCAAAAAUAUUGUCGCACUUGUAUCGAAUCACAAAUGUACUAUUUUUGGAGGAUUAUUCCACACGCACAUGGCAAUACUCUCUUCAUUUCAAUUUAUGAGUUUCCAUUUGACACAAAGUUGAAAAAGAAAGAGAGAUUUGAAAUUUGUCGUUUAAAAAAGUUCUUGACCAUUUGUGUAAUUAUAAAUUAUUUCAUUGAGUAAAAAAGGAGAUUUUGUUAAAGUUAAAUUACUUUUUCAAUUAUAGAAAUGCAACAUUCUUUUUAGGAAUAGUUAAAAAAAAUAUGUCACGUGAAUUAAAACACAAAAUACUAAAAAUAUAAAAAAAUAUUGUUCUUUUUUAACUAAUUAAAAUACGUAAAUGAAAACAAAAAGGAAUAUAUUCUUUCCACUUUGUCGAAUAUUCACUUUUUUAAAAAAAACACAUUUUAAUAUCUUCUCUAUGAAUAGCUUUAUAACCAUACAAACGUUAAGACUCCAAAUAUCUAAUAUAUUAUACCCACUCAAUAUUAUGAAAUAAUCCCUUUGUCCCAAGCACCCUUCUCUUUUAGUUGUUCCACAAAAAAAUGUUUGUUUUUUUUUAUAAAUAAAAUAAUUUAAUUUUUAUUUUUAAUGAAAUAAUUAAGGAGAAUCUGAAACCACAAAUUAUAAGAGUAUUGGUUUCUUACUUAAAAAUUGUGUGAAAUUGACUUAGGUAUAGAUAUUGAUUUAUUUACGUAAUAAUUUACUUGUCAAAUCGACAAAUUUAGAAGAUAAGUUAACUAAUAACCGUAUCUGAAAAUAACUAUUAAUAGACUAAUAGUGUAACAUAAAUUAAAUUAAGGAGUACUAUUUAAUAUCGUAAAAUUGAAAAGUCUCCUGAAUUUAUUACUUGCUAUAACUCAUAAACAAACCUUCAUAAUUUAUUUUAAACAGUAAAUUUAAAAAAUCUUCAAAUUACGUUACGAAACAAAACAAAAUGGGAGAGAAUAGUGAAGAAUAUGAAGGAAAGGAAAAGAGAAAACAUACCUGUAACGGUAGUACUUUCCUGAGCUUCACAGACGAUUCGUCCACCGCGGCGAACGGAUUCCGAUCGUGAGCUGAGAGAAACCGGCGACCGAUUCAGCUGCACCUUUAGACCACUGAACUGAGAAAAAUUAACUGCCGAGGAUCGACGGCCACCGGAGACCGACAAAUCGGCAAUAGGAACCGAACGCGCCGACGACGAGGAGAAAACGGAGGCGCGUGGAAUUGCAAUGGUUUCUAACAUACCGGCCAUUGAAACAGUAGAGAGAGAAAGAAAAAUGAUUUUUUAGUUUUUUUUUUUUUACAGAGAAAUGGGAAGAGAGAGUGAGGAGGUCUGUGGCUCAAGUAUUCUGUGAGAUUUCGUCAUGCGAAUAUGCGUUCGUUUUAGAUGAAAUGGAUGAGGCUCAUGCUAUCACGUGUUUCCCACGUCACUUAUUAUAUCCUCCCAACAAAAUUAUAUUUUCGUGGGCACAAUAUUUCCUCACGGAACUAUCUAAUUACGCAAAUAUUAUUAUAGAAACAUAUUUGAGAUAAACAAAGAUGAGCGAGAUAUAUACAUACGUGAUCAAGAUAAAAUGCCUACGUAAUUUAGGUACAUCAAAAUUUAAUAUGAUUCAUCAUAUUACAUUCACAUAAAUAAUACUGACUCAUCAAUCAUCAUGUAUCUUGAACUACAUGUAGUCUUAACGAUUCAAAUAUCAACGAGAUUCAUAAUAUUAUAUAACUAGCAUGCACGUAAAACAUGUUUUUUAUUCACAUCGAAAAAACAGGCAUUAAUAGUGGUGGGAGAUAAUUCACCCUUUUUGAAAGAAGUGUGUGACUGACUCUAAACAGCUACCAAAAAAACCUCUAAAUACUUGCCCACACUAACUAUUUAUACCGAACUCAAUAAAUAUAUGCCACGUGUCUACGCAGAUAUGGUUAUCACUAAAUCAUAGUUUUAAUAAAUACAAAUCAAUUAAUCGUAAAAUAUGAAAGAAAAUGUGAUACACAACCAUCCUACAACAAAUGAAUACGUAAGUGAAACACACACUUCAAACAACUCUAUAUUAUGAACUAUUUGCAGGAUUUACACGGCGAGUUCAGUUCCAAUUUUCUUUUUCUUCACAAAAGUUAACUCUCAGUGAUAAUUGACGUGCUAACCAAAGCGCAAAUUGAAACCAAAGAACACCACCUUUAUAGCUGUAGGAGUUAUAUGUGAAUCAUCAAAAUAACUCACUUUGCUCUAAGCCAUGUUCCUCUCACGCAUGAACUGCUCUAUCUUCUCGACAUCUUCCGGGAUGUCAACACCGUGAGCUUCGUGGUCAACUUUUAUCACCUGUAGAAAGAAAAGAGAUACGUGCAGUUAUAUAACAAUCACAAGAAAUAUAUUCCCUCAAUAAAUUUCUUUUACAACCGUGUUGUUCGGGCCAAAGAACAAUCACGAGAGGGGAAAGCAAACCAACUAGCUCAAAUAGAACGAAUCAACUGAUAAGGAUGUAAUGUUUGCACCAUCUUUGAAAUUCUUGUCAAUCAUCCAACAAUAUUUCUUCUUCUUUUCCGUUUGGUUAACUAUAGUUCAUCUAGGAAUAUAUUUCCCCAGUCAUUUUUCAAAUAAUCAUGGUGCCUGGGCCACAGCUUGCGCACCUAAACUAUAUCCAGGUGUACCUCCUACCUCCCACCAACACAGGUAGCAGGAAAUUCCAUUCACCAAAGCUUGGAUAGAUGGAAAGAAAUCACCUAAUGUUUUUGCCUGACCCCCGUUGAAAUUUGAACCCAGACCAUACGGUUCUUAAUCUAGUCAUUAAAACACCGAUAUUCAGCAUAGAAAUCUACAAAUUGAGGGUAUGUUACCUUCAUUUUGUAUCCAUUUUCAAGGACUUUUAGCUGCUCAAGAUCUUCUUCUAGUUGCAACGGUGUUGGUGUCAGCUCUGGAUAUAUUUUCAGGAACUUCGUAUCAUAACUCUAGAAUGAAAUAAGAAGACACCGUAUCAUUCAGCCAUAUAAAGUUAUUGAGAAAAACUAGUUGAUAGUUGCACCAAAAUUGUACUAGUUGAUACCUGGAUCCCGAGGUGCAGCAAGUAAGGAAACUGAGGAUUAACCUUGCCUAACCUGAAUGUUUGCAAAAGUUGAUCAGUUUCUAUAAUGGAGGAUAUAAGCAGCUACUGCAAUAGGCUAUUUAAGAGAAAAUGGACCAACUUGUUAUAAGGGAUGAGCCCUCGUGAAAAAUAUAUUGCAUAACCACGAUUGUCUACCACACAUUUAACACGAUUUGGAUCAAAUGCAUCCUCAGGUUUCAAAGAUGUCACAGCAGUGCUAAAGACCGCAUCUGGUGCAGACUGCAAGAAUCAUAAGUAUGUUAUUAGUCAUUUAAAGCUCAAUCAACAAGUGACUACAUGCAAUCUCCAAUGAAACUAACUCCAACGUAUAACAACAAUUCUUUUUACAUUUAAGAAAAAGACAGAAAGGAAAGCUACCUGUAGGGCUUUGACGAUGCCAUCUAUUAUUUCAGGUUCAAUAAGAGGUUCAUCUCCUUGUAUAUUAACAACAAUGUCAUACUUCUUAUCAAGCUUUUGAAGAGCUUCAUUACAACGCUCGGUUCCUACAAAUUAACAGCUAAGCAUCAGCUAUUCACAAACUCAAAUUUCCAGAAGUUGUAAAAAAAAUGGAUUGAGAAAAUAAAAGGCACUUUGUUUACCGUUUCUACAUGAUUCAGAAGUCAUUAUCACUUCAGCGCCAAAACCACGACAGCACUCAGCUAUCUUUUCAUCAUCUGUUGCCACAACUGUCAAAAAGGCAACCAAAUAAGCACCAGCCACGCCUUUUUUCCUUAUAUAUAUAUAUAUAUAUAUCUUCAUUUUUUUUGGGGGGGGGGGGAUAGUCGACGUGGGAGCAUAAUGUACGCCUAUAGAGAAGGUUGAGCCAAGUCAAAUAGAUACAUACCAACUUGAUCCAAUGUCUCAGCAAGCUUUGCCCUUUCCCAUGUUCUCUGCCAUUAAGAUUGAAUAUGGUGAGGGCGUCAGAUUCUUUUAGCAAAUAAAAUUAUGACUUUGCACUGUUUCUUGAUCAAAGCUUCACCAGUGGUAAAUGGUGAAAGAGACAAAAAGCAGGAAUAUGGCAUACAAAUUUCCAAACGUUAGAACCCUCAGAACAAUUUGAAGUUGGUCCGGAAUUUUUGGAAUCCUGAUAUUGCCAGAAGGGAAAGCACCACACAUGAGAAAUAAAUGGAUCUAUAAAUUUUAUAUCUGGCGAUAAUAGAUCCCUUAUAUUAUGUUUUCAAAGCAAAAAUAUUACCACUCAGGACCAACAUCAUUCCUGGGUAUUCAAGUGAAAAGAGAUGUCUCUGUUGUAACAUUGACUUUGUAACUGAAACUUCAUUUGGCAUUAUUAGUUUGCUCAUUAUUCUUUUGUUACUUGAGAAAUUACUGAUUAAUUCUAUCCUUUGGUACAUUGAUAGUGGAUUACGUGGCAAACUUAUAUUAGGCCAGUGCCGCGAUACUUAAGUAAUGGUACCCUGUUGACUAUGACUGAACAUCCCGCUCCCCAUAUAAUGAAGGGAAAAGCCCAUUUCUAGAGCUAUACCACCGUAGAUCGUUAAUAUUCACGAAAACUACUAAGAUUCUUGGAUCUCUACAAAAGACCAGGGCAUGUAUGAGAACUAAUAUUAUUAGAACCUCUUAUGAAACGAUUUGUCAACUUGACCACUAUUGGAGCUAAAACCAUAAAAUCAUAACAAAUUUGUCAAUGUUCCUUUUCGUUUCAUAACCCAGAAAUCCUCAAUGGUCAGUUGAGACUCACUUGAGCACAGUUCAAAACUCAGUCUUAAUGGAACAAGUUCACAUUGUUUUUACAAGCCUCAAUUUACUAUUCAUUCCACCACUCUAUUGAAGUCCACGAACUAGGACUAUGCAUUGCUCUAUCAGCAACCAAACCAAAGACUAUAAUCACCUUUUUUGAACAAUUCUGCUUGCUGAGCUUGCAUUUAGACUUCCAGUCAGUCGAAUGGAAACUACCAUACACCAUACAAUUACAGAAAAGAAAAAAAAAGGAAGACGCAUUUUAUUUACCAUUAUAUUUACGCUGUCAAAGAGGUUAUGAUGCCCGACAUGAAUCCGUUGGGAAAACGACAGGUUACCCAAAGUUAGGGGCAUAAGUAGAGUAUUAAAACAUAUGUUUGGAGGAACCUGCUUUUGCCUAGACACAGUAUUUAUAUAAGGAAAUCUACUAAAAAUGUAUAAAUAUUCAUUACGAACCCAAUAGCAAACAAGUUAUGAGUUCAGUUGCAAGUUCAGAAACCAUAAAGUUCAAAUCCCAACUCCGCCUUGACCCAAAGAUGGAUCUAAUCAUCUAGAGUUUCGAGUCACUAAGUUCAACAUACUUCUACUUCCACUCAUCAAGAGAGAGAAUACACAUAUAAACAUUUCAAACUUCUUCUCAACUAUAGUUCAUUCGAAAUGAAGGUCGUGUAGCUGUAGAAUUAAAGAGACAAUUUCAUAACCCAAUAGCAACAACAACAUACCCCGUCGGUAGAAUCCCACAAAGUGAGGUGGAUUUGGGGAGGGUGGUGAGUAUACAGCAGAAAGACUAUAUGAUAGACUCUCCACUCAAUUAAAGCAUAUCGAAACUCAAGUAUGUAAAGUAAAACACAAUUUCAGAACCUAUAAACACUCUGCUUCUACCCAAGGUGGAACUAAUUAUCUAGAAUUUUAAGAAUCACUAAAUUCAACACUCCCUGAAUGAAAAAAAUACUACAACUACAUUUCACACUCAACAACAGCAACAACAUAUUAAAAUCCCGUAAGUGGAGUGCGAAGAGCUUAGAUUAUUCAGCGAUGUAAACAUUUCAAAAUUCUUCUCAACUGUAUAUAAUUCAUACCUGGAUCAUAGGCUUGCCGAGAAUCUGAACGAGCGGUUUCCCUUGAAACCGAGUAGAAGCAAAACGAGCGGGUAUGAUACCUAUGACCCGGCUCCGAAACUUGCCGGAUCGGCUAAGGUAAGCGUGAGCGCCGAGAGCUACGGCUGCUGCUGCUGCUCCGACGGCUAAGCCGUGAAGGAUCCAUGAUUUUGCGGAGCUAGAGGAAGAAGAUGAUGAAGAAGAGCUACAGAUCGGCAUUUCUGUUGUUUUGUCGGUGUUAACAUGCGUCUUCUAUUUAUACUACUACAAUUUUACAAAUUUGUUCCUUGUGUGCUUACACAGAUUGUUCAUGUCGCAUACUUUUAAAAAAAUAAUAAUGUAUUUUUAAUUAUAAAAUAUUUAAUUUACGUGUUUCAUAUGAAAUCUUCGAUUUUUAAAAUUAGAAUCUACAUAUUUGAAAAUAGCGAAUGAUCUCUCCUCCGAUUUGAAGCAACAAUUUUCAAAAAUUUUAUCUUUGCUCAAAUGUUAUAGCAUAUUUUAAAUCGCAAAAUUUAAGAAUAAAAGCAUUUUUUCCUAAGAUUUAUUAUAUUAUUCGAAUAAUAUCAUCUAAAUUUGAAACAUAUGAAAUAAUAUAUUUGUAAUCAUCAUAAUUCAAGCGAAUACAUAGUUAAGUGUUCAUGAUUUAUAACUUUGUAGAUGUGAUAAAGCAAUAAGUACUAAUUUAUCUUUAGUAAGAGAUCUCAAAUUCACCCAGACUACAAAACGCCUUUGUUAAGAAACACAAUUCAUCCCGAUGUGAAAUUUUUCGAGGCAAAUCUGGAUUUAGAACCCACUGUGAAUACUAAACAUCGAGCGGAAACUAACAAAAAGAACAACAAAAAGCCUAAAAGCAUCUGCAUUUCGUCAAAUUGUGCCUCCAAAAUAGGCAUUGACUGGCCAAGCAGAAGGAUCAAAUGGUAUUUUUUAAAAGAAUAGUCUUACAACAGUUUUUCCCUUUUCGAAUUACAGCAGCAGUUGCACUCUUGUUAAAAUUGGCAUUUUACAACACUGAAGGUGAAAUACAAUUUCACCUUGAUACGGAAGCUCACACGUCGAUAUUGUAGCUACCACUAGCUAAAGAACUACACCAUAUAAAUACUGUCAAUUCAGUCCACUAGAGAAACAGGUAUCUCGGAAACUCAAUGGAGUUGCAGUGUAUAGAUAAGUCGGUAUAAUAGGUUAAAUAUCAGGUAGAGGCAUCCAAGUAGGGUGAAUGCUUACCACUAUAUGUAUUGAUGUUGUUCUUUAUCACCAUCUAUUAUGUUUCCAAUGCUUUUUCGAACUCUUCUCUUUCCUCGAGGAAUUCUCUUCAUCUCUGAUAUGACUGCUAUGCCCGUUUUCCUUCACCUUCUUAGCAGGCUGUUUAUCCUUGGAAGAUUUCCUCUUCUUUCCUGAGGAUUCAGCACCACCAUUCUCUGCAAUACCAUUUCCUCGGGGGAGUGCUUCUUCGUUAUCAUUUAAUUGCCAGUUACAGUAGAUCUCUUGCUGGUCACCAUACUGUUGCAGUCCCUCCCCAGCGCCUGGGAGCAAGUUAGUAAAAGUCACUUCCCCAUUAGAUCCUCCUUUCCUUUCCACUAGUACUUCAUCGGGUCUAAUUAUUGUGCCAAGUAUACUCCUGUUGGGACCAAGGGCAAAUAUGGCUUUUGCAUUUGUCAAUGUCGUGAAAGCCAUUGAAAAAGCAGAUCUGACCUGCACCGACACAAACAAGAAUCUCAGAAUGUAGUUCCGGAGGGAGCAAGAAGCAAAAGGACCAAUUGCAUGUACACAAGUUACAACCAAAAUAAUGGAGAGCUAUAGUAUUUCUGAUUAGGGCGAGUAGGUAAUAAAACUACUCUAUGAUCUCCAAUUUUCAUGAACAAGAGCUGAGCAAAUAUCAGAAAGGAUCACUCUCUUUUCCUACUUGUUUUGUUAUCCUUUACUUGAGCCGAGGGUCCAUUGAAACCAACUCUCUACCCUCAUAAGGUAGGGGUAAGGCUGUGUAUACACCACCCUCCCCAGACUCCACUAUGGGAUUUCACUGGGUAUCUUCAUGUUGAGAAAUCCCCAGGGGACAUGUUGUGCACAGUUAGAAACUAGUUAAAUAUCAGGCUUUUGUCAGCAGCAACAUUCAAACUUCGAACCUGUGACAUGCAUCUAACCCACACAUCACGAGCUGCUCCUACAACUAGAUCAAAGCCCAAGGGGAUACAGGCACAUACAGCAAACUUACAUGAUAACACAUGCUGCCUCUUAAAUACCGAAUGUGCAUGACAAGGGAAACAUGCAAAAUUCACAAUCAUUGAAACUCAUAAAUAUUGCUAGAGAACGAGCUUCUUAUAUCGCCAAAAAAAGAAUCAAAUCUUAUUGAUGUGGUGAAAUGACUCUAGUAAGAUUUUCAUAGAAGGAUGAGCAGUAUCUGAAAUCAUGUAGAAUUCACCUGAAAAUAAUUGAAGGAGCUCUUGCCUAUGUCAUUUUCUGGUGUCUGCAAUCACAAGAAAGGAACCUAGUUUAGUAAUUUGUUAAUAAUGUUAACAACCUUCAAAAGAACAAGGUACUCGAUUACUAAAUUCCAAAUACAAGGUUAACACAACAAAUAACUACACAAAAAGUAAGGGACAUAAUCCUUCUAUUCAUUGGUCCACUAGAAAAUAAAACCAACCAAAAUAAAUGACAACAUAGUCAAGCUUAAAAAGCAUAAAACCAAAUGGAAUAUAUAUAACUAAUACAAAUAUAAAUAGGAAAAGAUAGAAUGGACGAACACGUUCACUGUGAUAUUUAAAAAGACCCCAGGGAAAUGUGAACAGCAAAGAUAUAAGAGGGGUAACCUGUGGAUCCUCAAUGGAGAUGAGAGAUUGCUUUCCUUUAAUUGAGAACCUGAAAACAAAAAGAAGGAAACAAACUAGAUUACCUAACAGAUAUAAACUUCUAAAAGUAAAACACUUGUAUAACUUCAAAUAUAUUGAAAUUGCAUACCCUUUGCAACUCUUCAGGAAGAAGGUAGCUUCUCCAUUACAAGAUACACCAACAUCUGAUGUAUUUAGUUUGCGUCCAUAAAUAUCAAAGAAAUUAACCUAUAUCACAACAUAUGAGGAAAUAUGAGUAACUUGCCCUGAAUAAUAUAAACCUGUAGGAUAAUUUUGCCACAGAAAGUCCCAAUGAGAUGAAAUUACAUAAAAGAAGGGAAAGAAGAAGGAAUGAAAGCAAAAAGAGAUAGCAGGCCAGGAGGAACAGAAAAAGGUAGUCAACUAAGCUUUUGAGUGAUAUCUUAAAUCGAAGACAAAAAAGGGGGAUAAGUGAGCACAGGCCACAGGCAAAACGAAAUGCACAACCUGCUGUGCACUCCGCAAAAGCUACAACUUCCCCUUUCUCUUGAUUGCUUCUAAAAGGAGGAAACUUCCUUUAGAAACCUUUUAAGUGCAAGAACUGAAUAUCAUAGACUGGUGACAAUUAGAGCUGUACAGUCUUUCUCCUAUAAAUAUAAGUGUUAUGGCUUUGGUUUGAUCGAUGACUUAUAGUUUCCGAACUUCUGCAUUUUUUGUCUUUGAUCUUUUCUCGAAGGCCUCAAGGAAUCUGCUUGAACAACCUCUUAAGAACUUAUUUCUUUGUUCUCCCAGAAAAAUUAAGAAUUAAAGAUGAGUCAAAGUAAAAAUUUUGUCCCUUGCACUUGCCUGAAUUAUUUGGUACUUGGUAGUAGGGUCAAAAUAAUCUUCUCCCCAACGGCAAUAAUUGAAGCAACAAUUGGAAGAGAUCAAAAGAAAUUAAUAGCAAGCAAAAAGACACUUCUAAUAUAGCAUAAACAGAUUAAUUUUUUUUAGAAACACUUCUAAUAAAGCAUAAAAACAGAAUAAGGUUUUUUUCUUGUGCGUGAGUGAGAGAGAGAGAAGCAUGGUCAAUAUGGCAGUAGUUUUCAAACGCGACAGUCGUGAAUUAUCACACUGGAACUUUGAAAGAGGAGGUUUAUGUAUCAGCAAGGAACAUAUAAAGCUAACAUAUUUCAACAUGGUUUGGAAGUUCAGAAUAAGUGUACUUCUCAUACAGGUGCUAUGGCUUUCUAUUAAAUUAGUCACUAGAAAACUUUGCCUCAGACUUUCAUCUUCUCUAAGAAAGACCUAUAAGGAUUUUUCUCUUUUGCCCCUCUAAGAAACUAAGGUUUGAUUCUUUUACCCCGUUCACCCACCGGCAGCUUGACCAUUCUCUUCAAAGCAAGAACAUUGUUCGGUCAUUUUAGGUAGAGCAUUGAUUUCUUUGAAAACUUUCAAGAGAUACAAGUUGGAAAGAGACAUACCAAAAGAAUUCCCAGAUUCUCCUCCACAGAAGCUUGGCCAUUUCGAUGGUUCUGCAAAACAAAUGACAUAGCAUAGACCAAAUAAUCAAAACAAGGUAAAACACAAAAGGUGCAUUGGUAGCAACUAGUUUACAUGACAAUUAGCACAUCAUAACAAUAACACCACAGGGGUUAAGUUGAUUUUGAAGUAUCAAAGAGUGUUGCUCAACAGACUCGACCUUCCCUCCUUUUUAUAGUACUUAAUACAAAAGAGAUGAACAGUAGAAAUUUGGUCAAACCAAUAACAGAAGCCCAGACAAUCUUUUCCAGAUGGAUGAAGUAUCAAAGACAAAGGAAAUAGCAAUUAGAACAGACAUCCAUAGUACCUCAAAUCUCCAUUCAUUCCCCAUCUCAGCUUAUGUUCUCUAUUAGAUAUACUUAAGUUUUUCAAACCUUGAUCAACAAGAGGCCAAUGCUAUUUGAUCAAAUUAAAGAUAACAUGAUUGAGUUGUCUCAUCUCAAAAACUUGUUUUACUCCAUACUCCUUCAAUCCCAGAGAGAACUUCCACCUUUCUUUUAUGUGAAAAAAGAGCAGCAGUAAUAUCCUGCCAUGUGUAUUUGGCAAGUGCAAGGCCAACACCAGUGAAACAUAAAGCAUAACAGAAACAAGAGGAUCCUUUCUAAGUGAGAAUAAUUAGUUCUGUCACGAAACUAAUAUUUCACUUAGUUACAACUUACACCAUUAUUUCACUCGACUAACUAAUUGUGAGGCAUUAAGUCUUAUUAUUCACACAAAUACAUGACCAGUUAUAAUUUACCAUUCACACUAUUAGAACAUAUGAUUGAGUUAACUCACCUGCAACAUUGCUAUGAGCAUUACAAGCAGAGCAUAGGAUCCAAUCCCACCAGUAUAAACCUGCAAUAUAAGAAGACGAUAAGUCAAAGCAGAAAAGAUUGAAACCUUAUCAGCAAGCAACCUAAACAUGUUUAGACGCAUGUCUUUGCUGAGACUUAGCAACUAGGAUUAUUCUGUUUUCUACACAAGUCUGCAGACAGCAACUUGGAGAUAUUAGAAGACAUUAGGAAUGAUUUACCUCAUUUAGCUCUCUCUGUUGCAAGAACACUUUCAAAAUCAAGCAUAAUGGUCGCAGAGGGGGCCAGCUAGACAUAGCAUCCUAUAGAAGUUCGCAUAAACAAUAACAUCAGACAGUUAAUUUCUACAUCACUGGAUUUUCACUGUUCAGCGAGUGGAUAUGUCGGCACAAACCUUAAUAAAAUCAGCAGCUUUGGGUCCAUUUUCCACAUCAAAGCUGUGGCCACAGAACAGAAAAUUAGAAGCAUAAAGUUAACAAGAUACAGAACACAAUUGCUCUUCAGUCAAUAUCAGACUUAGUCAUUCAGUUCAGAGGGAUGGCAGUCUUGUUUGCAUAGUAAGUACUUGGCUGAACUUCAGAGGAAGCUGAUAUAAAACAAUGAGGUAUAUCAAAACGAUUCAAGUUACCAAGGGUGAGGAAUGAGUCGUCAUAGGUUUUUUCUCUAACUUCUAAGAAGUGCAGAAGGAGAGAAAUUGGUCAAUUCCCCCAUUUAAAUUUGUUGGCUUGUUAAUAUAAGGACUAAAGUCUAAACUAAUAUGGACAAUUAAAAAUGAAAUGGACCAGGUGAGAAACUCAAACAGGAAAAAAGGGAACACAAGAAAAGGAUUAGGCCAAAACACAAAAAAUGAAGUACAUCAUAAAAUCAGUGGAAUAUUUAAAUUGGAUAAUGUAAUAAAACCAGAAACCAAGUAUGGAGAAGCUGAAAGCAAAACAUCAACUCCCCUUAUGCACACUAUCCACUGAUCAACAAGUAGGGGCAAGACAAUUCACAGCAAGAGACAAAAUGGAAUGAGUUCUAGCAAAUGCAACACAUAGCCUUUUUAGCUAUGAUUACGGGAUAGAGACUAGGCAAAUAUAGACAUCAGUAAUAUGGAACUAUCUUCUACAAAAUCAUAAUAUUGCCAGAAUCCCGUAAAACUAGUGCAUAAUAAAACCUUAUAUUGGCCGUUAAGAAGAAUCGAACCUUAUGUCAAAUGAAAUGCCACUUUUCUUCUCCACAAAUUUUAUUAUUGGCACACGAGCCUUUGAAAUCACCUGAUUCAGGGAAGUACAUGAAAAUUCCAGAUUAUAAAGUUCUCUUUGCAGAAAUCUAUCACAGAGAUUGGGGGGAGAAAACAAAAGAAAAUGUUCCUCAUAGAGAGAUCACAGGGCCACGUGAUGCACCUGUAUCUUCUUCGCAACUCCUUUCUGUGAGAGAGCUCUGGAAAGAGCUUGCAACCCAAUUUGAGGACUUCUAAUUUCUGACCCUAAAAUCACCAGCUGCAUUUCAAAGAGUAGCUAAUUACUUCUAUUAUAACUUGAAUCAUUUUUGCUUCUACACCACAAUCAACCAACAAAUAAUGUAUGUCUAUGAAAAGAUCUAGCAUUGCAGACAAAGAAAGUCUACAUCUUAAAAAAUUGUUUUGUCCAGAAGUAUUUUGUCAAUAAAAAAUUGUUUUUUUCUUUUUAAAAAAAACAUAUGCUCUUUUGUUGGGUAUGACAACAUUUAUAGGUCCAACAUCAUAGAAUAAGUGAUCAUGUACAGGAUGUCCAGGUUAGCAUGAUGCUUUUUAUAGCAUGUUACGGAGGAUCUGUAAACCUAAGUACCAAACUACAUUCCAGUGUUAUAAAAAGCGAGGAAAAGCGCUCUUCAAGCGCGAAGAACAGCCCUGCGCUUUUAUUUCCUGAAGCGACGCGACAUUGAAAAAGCGCUCGCUUUUACCGUAGAAGCGAGAAGCGCAAAAAAAAGCGAAAGUGUGAAAAAGCGCGCUUAAUUUUAAAAAGCGCUAUUAGGGUUCUUUUUAAAAAAAUUGUAAUUGUUUUUUAAUUUUUGAAAUCCUUACGCGACUUCACGUACCUCUUUCGCGACUUCAAUUAUUUGUUGGACUGCUGCGAGGCUGUGACGGCUGCUGUAAGUUCUCUUCUUCUUAGCGACUGCUCUGCGAGUUUUUUUUCUAUUUUUGGUUGUUGCCAGGUAGGUUCUCUUCUUCUCUGCGAGGCUGCUGCGACUGAUUCUUUAGUGAUUUAAUUAUGUAUUUGCUUUAUAUGUUAUGACUUAUGAGGAUUAUUGACUAUCUAUUUACUUUUAAUCUAAUAAUAUAUUACCUCUAUUCAGUUAUUUAAUAUUUUUAUAUUUUUAAAUUAAAUAUCACUUUGCUUAAAAAAAAGCGCGCUUCACUUUCGCUUCUGUGAAGCGAGCCCUCGUCGCUUUUAUCCGCUUCUCACUUCCCAAACACUGCUACAUUCAGUGUUUGGAAGGCUAGUUGUACUUGUUUGUUGAUAAAUACGAUAUUGAAUGACAGUUGUUAUUAUAAUUAUUCAAGCAAGGAUUUCAAUUUAGCUCAACUUUUGAGCAGAAGUUGCAGCACAUUAAUGAGUAACUAAAAGGAAAAUAUCUUGUAACUGAGAAAGAAAAUCCAAAAUUUACUAGAAAAAAAAAAGAGUAAGCUUACAUCAACAUCACUAGUGGGAAGAUAAAGCCCUGUCUUGAAUGAUCCAAAGACCUCUGGCUGGAAAAAGAAAUAAAAGGAACUUUAACACAGUGAAGCAAUUAGCUUUGUACAUCACAAACAUAAUGUGCUAUACAAGGGUGGAAUGGGAAUGGCAAGUGAGCAAAGACCUUGCAGUUGGGCCAGAUAUAUUUAAUAACAUUAAAAACACAUUCUACUGCUUCAUUACGAGAUGCUUGCUCCUCCAGUGUAGGUGAUAAAAACUCACAAAAAUCUAUUAUCUCUGCAAAUAUCACACACAGCAAGUUAAAGCAAAUUCAGCUGCAAAGCUGUAAGUAAAUUUAAAUAUGCGCACACACAACCACAUGCAUAUGUGUGUGUUUAUAUUGUAAAGCAUAUAUACAUAAUCCAGAAGCUGAUUCAAAAUUUAAAGUUUGUGAGUUCCUACAAGGAUCUCAAGUUCAUAUACAAUAAUAACUAUGUUCACUAAAUCACUAUCACAGAAUAAUUUAAUAAUUAUAUUAAAAAAUUGAGCAACGGAUCCGCCUGAGCAAGUUCAGAGCAAAUUUAGUUGCGCUGCUUCUAACAAGAAGAAUAUCAUAAAUCAUCAUGAAGAACAAUGAAAACCAAAACGACAUAGCUUUACCUUGGUGAAGCUGAAGCAUGGGACUCUUAAACCGACAAUUAGCGCGAAACCAAUUGCCUUCAAGUCCUCUCUCUACUUCUUUAUCCCGCAAAGGAGUGGCAGCUGGUACCGGCGUCGAUACGGAACCGUUAUUCAAGUCGGAAGCGUCUCCAUCGAGGUCGAGUGAAAAGUAAUCAGGCGCGGCAGUUUCCGGUGAGGGACACUGGAGAUUGGAUAGUGAAAUCUGGUUCCGGAAUACGACGUAGGGUUCAUGCUCAUCGGAGGACGACAACGACGGAGGUAUGUCGUCGGUGGCGGUUGUGGUGGUGCCGGCGGCGGAGAGUGGACGGAGAGUUUCGUACAAAAUGCCCUCAACUUCCAUUGAUACUGAAAUCCGCACAAUGUGUCUCCUCACAACAGUACGGUCGUGGAAUUAACUUGGACUAGUUUAGGGCUUUACUAUUUUUUUAUUAUUUUUUUCCUUUUAUUAAUUCUAAUUCACAUUGGAUAAAGGAUAAUAAAAAUAUUAUCAAAACAAAUUUGGGCAAGUUGGGAAUUAAAUUGAAUUGCUUCGUGAUAAAAUUCGGAGAACUUUCACGUAUACUGAUUAGAUAAUUGUAUAUUAUAUAUGUGUAUUUGUAUAUAUGGCAAGCGAGAUUGGGAGAGAGAGGAGAAAGACGAGCGAGAUUGAGAGAGAAAGGAGAGAGGCAAAGAGUGGGAGAGAGGUGAAUAGUAUAGGUAUAUUGGUUAGAUAAUUGUAUAUUAUACAUAUGCCUUUGUAUAAAAACAAGCGAGAUUGGGAGAGAAAGGAGAGAGGCGAGCGAGAUUGAGAGAGGGAGGAGAGAGGCAAGCGAGAGAGAUGAAUUAUAUAUGUACAUUGAUUAAAUAAUUGAAUAUUCUGGCGAAGUAUACAUAUACAAAUGUGACUUAUUAUACAAACUCGAAAUCAACCCACAUAAUUAAUGUAUAAUGUUAGUCGUGAGUGGUAAUUAUAGCAAACUAUAGCUACGAUGAGUAAUUAGUAUAAGUUUGCUCAACCGUGUAAUUUUUCCAUAAAAUUAACUUAUAAAAAUAUAAUUUGUCCAAUUUAGUUCAUCUUAAAACACUCGACCUUGAUUAAUAACUCGGUUUACUUUAACUCGUUUAUGAGUUAGACACCUCUAGCAAUGAGCGGAAGCGGUCCCUAUUUGUAUAAAAAGAGUUUUCCGCCUUAAAUAGACCUGACUUAAUGCAAACCUGAAUUAAUCGAGUCAGUUAAUGAUCAUUAUGCAAAGAGAAAGAGAGAGGAAGUAUAAUAAAGCCUAUAUAAAUUGUAGUAGAUGUAUCUAUACAGAUGAUAAACAAGUCAUUCAUCAAAAUCUAUGAGCUCUACUUUUGCUGUUUAUGAACUCAUAAAAACAGUUAAGGAAACUGAACAAAAGCUAUUAAAAGCACUAAUAUGAAGCUAAUAAUGUACUAGUAUAUUUUACCCAAUUAAAAGUUGAACUAUUUGGGCAACAUUAGUCUCAAUUCACCUAUUGUUCAAAUCCAAUGUCAGCAUGGUCUCAACUGAAGAAAUAAUUCGCGGCGUUUGCAGGAACAACUGGUGCUACUCAGUCCCAUUCUGUGUCAAGUGAAGAAAUUUGUCGCAAUCCUUUACGCCAAUCUCCUUAAAUGUAUCUAUAACUGUCUUGAUGAAUCCGGCCAAAGAAGCCUUGAAAGUUGGUGAGCAGCUUUUAUCGCCCUCAUCGACAUCCUGAACACCACCCCGGACAAGGCUACCUACUUGAGCACCAUCUGUGUAUGCUUUACAUGCAACAAGAAUAUCUUGUGCACUUCGAAAGAAAUGCCCUAAUACAAAAUCUUCAAAAUACUGCAGCAAGAACCGCAUUUGGUAUUAGUAGUUGAUUUAGAACCACAGGUGUGAAUGAAGUCAAGAAAUAGUCAUGAAGCAUAACAAUAGAACCUAUUUUGGUAAUAAAUGGCUAAGAACCAUUGACAACGAUCACAGCAGGCAGAGAAUAAAAGAAAAUAUGGAUACCUUUGGUGGACGUCUCAUGGAGAAGACCAUUGUUUUCAGAUUUAAAAUGUAAGUGUUCUCAUUGUACUGCAGUGAGCUUUGAUCCCCUCUGGCUGUCCCGCCUGUGUUUGCAUAACCAGGCUCAUUAAAAUAGGGUUUUGCAUUUAAAAUUAGCCCCUGUAUGGACACCAAGACUUGUAACAUAGUAGAUGCACGAGGGAUCCAUUUCUCCUUCCCUUGGCCAGUCCAAGUGUUAAGUAGACUCAGGCAGACUUUUCCACAGUUAUACAAAUUAGGAUUGAUCCGAAGGCCAAAGGAAUGGUAGUGCACAAGCUGGAAACGAUAGGUAUGGAGGUGUUAGGCUAAAGUUCGAAAGUAUAAAGCAGUACAGUCCUCAGAGACAAAGCGAGACACAUACCGGGGGAACAUUGGGAUAGUUGCUUGGAAAGAAAACAUCAAAGAAGUAAAGGCCAUCAUGAUAUGGAGUUCCAUCAGCACCCAUGAUAACUGCUCUUAACAGAUCCAUUCUUGAUUCGUACACCCUGACAAAUAUCGUAUCUGCUCAAUAAAAGACGACAAGAUGAGUGCAUGAUUAACAAAUUGCAAAAAACACGUGUUAUAACUAAUGCAAGGCUGCACCCAAGGGUGUAGCCAAGUGGUCAAUGAAGUGGGAUGACAGCCAUGAGGUCUCAGGAUCAAAUCCCCACGGAUACAAAUAAACACUAGGUGAUUUCUUCCCAUCUAUCCUAGCCUUGGUAGAUAGAAAUGAAAGGCUGAGAUAUUCAGAAUUCCCUGACUAAACAGAAUUUCUAGGCUUUUGUAUAUUAAAUUUCAAGGACUCAAUGCAAAAAAAGAAAAUCACAACACAUCAUGUGAAACUUUGCUUGUAUACCAGGCAGAUCGUUCUCCAGUAUCUUCCAUUCCUCCUGUAUUUUCUUGGCCCAGUUCUUAGAAGGCUGCAAUAGAAUUAGAUAUAUCAUAAGAUAAUGAAGCCAAAACUAGUUAAGUUAUGUGAAAUAUUUUAAUUGGGAUAAACUAACCAGGUUCCCUGAAGAAGCCUGUCGAGAAUAGAAAUGGUCCGAAUGAUCCUCAACAGUAUCAAAUUUUUUGAAAGCUUGGAAAUUCUUCAGAAUUUCAUCUACAUUUCUAUGUUGCUCUCCAUUACAAGCCGGUCCUGAAGGAAUUGAAGGACAUCCUGCAGUUGUUGCCCCUUUAUGCAAACUCAGAGGGAAAUAAUUCAUCAUAGCAGGUGAUGCAUGAGUAAUUCCUGCUGCAAUUGGAGUGGUUGGAUUAAGAAAUAAAUUCUUCAUAUCAGACACUGGACCUCCCACGGAAUUUGGGAAAUAAGGCCCAAUAGGAGUAGUUUGGUUGCCCGAACCAUAAGAGGUUGUAGCACCGGAUGAACGUAAUUUCUUUCCAUAAUGAGAUGAUGACCCUUCAUACAUGUUAUAUGGGUUAUUCCAAUCAAAAGAGGCUGUACCACCGGAUGAAUGGAUUUUCUUUGAAUUACUUACUCCCUUAGAACUCUUCUCAUUUGAAUUUCCAAUGACUAAUUGUCCCUCCUUGCCUAAAGCAGGUCCUGGGGAUGACCAAGACGACCCAAACUGCGUAGGCUGACCAACGAGAGUAGAGCUGCUAAAUGAAGCGGAUUGAUUCCUUACUGCCCCAGGGACAUCUCUUCCUGAAGUACUUGUAGUGGUUGACACCAUUUGUUCUUCCAUGGGACCAGGCAUCCAUGGGAUUGGAGCCUCAACUCCAGGGGGAAUGUCCAUGUUAUCAAAAUGUGCUUGUAAAACAGCAUAGUCGGAAUACACUAAAUCAUCAUAAUACAUGUCCAUGUGCUCAUCAGCUCCGAAAAGUACAUCAGAACCAAACUCAUCUAUAAUAAUUGGACUAUUAGAUGCUGAAAGACAAUUCUUCUUUUUUAUUGAUGACGAAAAGCAGUUCUUCUUUGAAGACUGAACCGCAUCUACUGGUCCACUAUUACCCGAGCUACCAUUACCAACCAAAAUAUCCUGCAACAGAUGGGAUUGACAAAAUUAGACCUCCAAAAAAGGACAGCAUAGAAGACUGACAAGAAAAGAACCAGAAUUUUGACAAGAGCGCAUUGGCAAUCUCUGAUUACCUUCCCCUUGCCACUAAAUUUUACAUUUCCAGAAGAGCGCUUAACAUCACUUAAAUUUUCUUCCACGUCAACAUCUAUUAUUUCAUGGAAACUAACCUACAAAGAAUACAUCAGCAUAGUAUCAGGGCCAACAAUAAUGUCACAAGGAAUGAGAAUCAAGUCAAAACAACAAUGCUUGUCUUGUCAAUAAAACCAAGCUUCCAACAGAAUCUCCUGCAAAUUUGGACUAAAAGGCAUACAUACACACAAUCAAAAAACAGAAAGAUGUCAAAAGAGGUUAGCUAAUCUGAAGGACUCUAGUCCUUCCUCAAUUUUCUAUUUUCCUGAAGAGGCACUCUCAUACAUGGCGAAAGAUUUCUACCGUAGGAAAAAUAAACGUCUAUUCAGUUGAAAGGAAGAAAAUAUAUCCAGAUAUAUCUACCUUUUGCUCACAUAAAGGAGAGCGAAAUCCAGCUGAAUGUAAUAUGUUGCAUAUGUGUUAAGAGGAUUAUGUCAACACCAACUGAUUUGUAGACAAGUUCAUAUUAACUUUUACAAAGAAAAUAUUUGAAAAAUAGUACAAGGGCAUGUUGAGGACAGGGUAAGUAAAUGCAGACCUCAUGAUUCUCAACCCGCUUUAUACACAAUGGAUAGUACUACAUACUCAAACAUGUUCACUGGCGCAAACUAGAGUCUUGAACAUUGAUGAAAAUAAGUGAAAAAAUUAAACAUCAAGAGGGUCAUACAGAAGUUGGACUGGCAUAGAGUUUCUUCCAGAAAAUCUUUGAUUUCUUCGGAGGGACAGUGGGAGAUAAAAUGACAUGAAGCUUAACACACUUCAUUUGACUAUUCCUAAUAAAAAAGAAACAUAAACUCUAUGCAAAGCCAAAAGUUCUGAAAAUGCAAAUUCAAACCAAAUAAGCCAAGAAAAAAUAGUAAACUGUACAUUGGGGGUAAAAUGUGUAUCAGCAAGAUGAUUCAAAGAGGUCAUUAACAUAUAUUAUAGCUGAAAGUGCGCAAGCUAAAGGUAAUCAAUCAAUUCAGAAACAAAAGAAAAUGCAAAAAGACUGAAUCCUGGUACACAGUACAUAAUUUUAUACCUUCUUAUGCUGCUUAGGAGUUUUUGAUUUCGAACUCCAAUUGGUAGGUCGCGAAAUUUCCACUACCUCAACAUCAAUUGCACUUCCACCUGGAAACACUCUUUUCCUGUGAAUCAAUAGUACCAUCACAAAUCAAUGCUUAAAUAAUAGAAAAAAAACAAGAAAUGAUCAACUGAGUCUGUUUUUAACUUGUAACAAUAUACCAUCAAUAUCACACACACAUAAACACUUAAUAGAUACCAAAAAGAUCAUCAAUUAUGUACUUUGAAUUCAAUCACAUCAAAAUCAUAGACCCCCAAAACAUGUACAACAACAACAUACCCAGUUUAUAUCGAUAUACACAAACCUUACUUCUACCUCGUGGAGGUAUAGAAACAACCCUCAGCUUCCCCAAAUACUUGGACAUUCUUUUCCAACACCAUCAUAUCAACAAACACUACCCCAAUUAUACUUAAAAGAGUUCUUUUUCCUUUUCACAAUAAAACAAUACAAUCAUCAACCUUAGGAACACCAUAAUGACAUAUCAAAAGUGCAUAAACCCACACACUCUCGUUAUAAUUCUCUUUUUUUUCCCCUAAAAACAGAGAAAAUCAUCAACUGGGUCAUCUCUUUUUUUCUCUUUUUUCACAAUCCAACACACCCCAUCAUCAAAAAAGUAAUCUUUUUCACACUUCCAUCUGAAAAUCAAUACAAUCAAAAAUCAAAAAAAAGAUACUUCCACUAUCAACUCAACUAAUUCUACGAACACCCAACACACCCCAUCAUCAAAAAAGCAAUCUUUUUCACACUUCCAUUUGAAAAUCAAUACAAUCCCCAAAAAAAAAAAAAACUCUGUGAACAAAUAAAAACAAGAAAAGAAAAUGAUCAACUGGGUUUGUGCUAUUUACUUGGAAUUCUCAGAAACGUAUGCUGCUACUUGUUUAUGAGUCUCCAUGGAUCGAUUUUCCAGAGAAUUGAAAGAGGCGAUUUAGGUCAAGCUUGUUAAAUUCCAAAGAUUUUCCUCGAUGAAAUUGAAAAACCUUCCACACAUAUAUAGAAAAAUUUAUUGCUAUGUUCCGUCUCUUCAGUGGAUUCUAUAUUUAAAAAAAAAUUGCUCUCACAGAGAAAAUAUAUUAUGAAACUUUUUGGUUCCAAUAAGUUAAAGACUUAAGCUUUAUGACUCAUUCUUCCCGCCUGGUCAAGUUGAUAGGACGAAAUUUUGAGUCGAGGAUUUAUUUGAAAUAAUUUUUUGAUUUUAUAAAGUAUGAAUAAGGUUAGGGUAUGGGUCAUUUUUUUUAAAAGUUUUUAUUUGUAGGAUUAUAUUGUUAUUGUGUUUUAUUUUUUAUUAUCGUAGUGUUGGAUUAAGUUUUCGUCCACUUUGAUUAAUUUUUAUGAUUAGCAAUAGAUAUCAGGUAGUUCUGUCCAGCAAAAAUAGAAAGAAUUGCCUAUAUUUUUCAUUUUUUAAAACUCUAAAAUAGGAUUUUGAGUCAAGUAUUUUAAUCAAAACAAUUUCUUUUAAUGGGAAAAAGGACAAAUAUAUAUCCGAACUAUCGUAAAUGGUAUGCUCCUCCUUACUGUUGGGACAUUAUUGUCCCUGUCGUCCAAAAACAAAAGCAUAUAUAUAUAUAUAUAUAUAUAUAUAUAUAUAUAUAUAUAUCUUUUAUACUAACGAGGGGCAUAUACGUGUCAUAAUCUUAUUCAUCGAUCUGACAUUUUUUCGUCGAAUAAGAUUGUGACACGUGUCCAUGUUCAGUCUUCGUUUAAAUUGAAGGGCAUAUAUGAUCUAAUCUUUGGAUACCAGGAUACUAAUGUCCCAAAAAGUAUGACAGAGGAUAUCUGCAUAUUAUGAUAGUUCGGGAGUGUAUUUGUCCUUUUUUUGUUAUAUUAUAACGUAGGAAUAAGGUUAGUGUAAUUUCUUUUCUUUUUUUUUCGAAUUGUAUUUGUAUAUUAGUUUUGAUGUGUGCUUUUUGUAUAUUGUUCUUUGAACUAAGUUUUUAUGUACUUCAACUAAUUCAGAAUGAUAUCUACUUUUUCACGUCAGUAAUAAAUAUCAAAUAAAUUUAUUUGUAUGGCGAAAUUUAUUUAAAUCAAUGUUUUUUUAUAUAUCAAAUACAUACUUUAUUUGGUUGUUGAUAAAUAUGUACUUAAAACUUUAUUUUGGGGUGAAAGUUGUUUUCUAAAAAUUAUUUCAACUCUUAAUAUUUUAACUAAUAGUUAAAUAAUAUUUUUAUCAAUUUUAAAUAUUAAAUAAAGAAAUUCUGCCAACUAUUUUCUGACUCAUUGACCAAACAUUGAAUACAUAUUUUGCUACUUCUUUCUUUUUCCUUUUUUCCUUUUUUUGCAAGAUAUUUUUUUUUAAAAAAUAAAAUUAAAGCUAUCGACAUAUUAAACAAUACACUUUUAAUAUUAUCUCAGUCAGAAUUCAGAUUAAUUAUUAUAAUUUUUUUCAAAUCUCAGAAAAGUAUUUUCUAACUAAUCAAUGAGAAGUUGAAAAAAAGGUCUUUCUAUUUUUUUUUAAUAUCAUUUUUAAAAAAAUGGAUUUGUCAUAUUAAAAUACUCUUUCAAUGUGAUAAUAUCUUAAUCAGAUUACAUUUAAUAAAUAUUUAAUAAAAAUCUCCAAAAAAGCAUUUUCACACUCUUUAUAUGAAUUAUGUAACUUUUAUUUUGACUAUAUAUAAUUUUUUUCUUAAAAUGGCUUUCAGUAUAUUAAAUACACCUAUUAAUAAUAUCUCAUAAAUUAAGGUUGAUAAUUUCAAUAAUCAAAUCAUUAAUUCAUCUCUUUUGAGACUUUUAAUCACUUAAGAAUAAACAAAUAAAUAAAAUAUAGUAUUUCAUAAUGUGUUAAUAAACAUAUUAACUCUCUUCAAGUAAUUGAUGUAAUUAAUAAACUCUAUUUUGAAGUUAAACUAAUUGAAUUAGAUAUUAAUACCAAAUAUUCUUAUGAAUACAUUCCAUUAAAGGAAACUUUAUAUUGAUAUUACAAUUUAAGUAGAUAUAACAUACUAUUACUUUAUAUUUCAAUUUACCUUAUAUUAAAAUAUUUAUACAUUAUUAUACAAAAUUAAACCAAAGAAUGUGAAAUAAGUAGGCUAAUAAGGUGCUGAAAAUUUCUAUUUUCAAUAUAUAUAUAUAUAUAUAUAUAUAUAUAUAUAUAUACACACACACACACACACAAGAAAACACUAACAUUAUUUUCCUAAUAGGCAUUUGUUACUACUUGAUUCACAAAUACUACUUUUAAUACUCAGUCGAUGUAUACUAUCAACUUCUCACACUUAUUAUAACAACAUAUUGAUAUUUGACAUGUACGGGAGCUCAAUCAUACAUAUGCACCACCAGAAUCUUCAUAAGAACUCUAGAACGAAGAUCGAGUUUAACCCUGAUUUACAGUAAGUUGUCAAAUUGGUGGCAAAGGUGCUAGGACGGAUGAGUGCAACGCUCAAUGAGGAAUGUCACCAUUUUACUUCUAACGAUAGAUAGAAAAGGUGGGAGAGGGGUUUGAGGGACGACAAACGUACAAAAACAAAAACGAUGUGACAUAUUGAGUUAAAUAUAGACCCAUUAUAAACAAAUCAUUAACACAACCUUCAGCCUCGCUUGGCUAGGAGCAAUCACUUUGAUAUGAUGGGAUUGAUCGGUCUAACAUCAAGAUAUGUAAUUUACAAAAACAAUAACAAAUCAUUAACACAACCUCCAAUCUCGCUUGGCUAGGAAAAAACAUUUGGAUAUGGCGGGAUUGAUCGAUCUACAUCAAGAUGUAAUUCACAAAAACAAUAACAAGACCAAGAAAUGUAAUUCACAAAAACCAAAACUACGAUACACGAGUUAAACAUAGGCCCAUUACGAAAAAUAAAUAACACAACCUCCAAUAUCGCUUGGCUAGGGGCAUUCACUAGAACAAGGCGGGAUUGAUCGGUCUACAUUAAAGAAAUGUAAUUCACAAUAUAUCUUACAUUUCCAGCCUAAACAAAUCAAUUAUUCAAUUUCCUAGCUUUAUUCCUGAACUUUGGAUGAACAAAAUUCCUCUGUAUAAAUUAUCUGUAAACAUUAGGCAAUUGAGAGCUUGUAUGGUCUCAAAAACAAACUGGGCAUUAUACAAAAAAAUUGUAUCUUCGUUUGUCUUUUUUAGUUAGAAAUCUGCUUCUAUCACUAAAUAUCAAACCUUGAAGCCUUCAGCUCGAAGACAUUUACGAUGAGCUUCAAUCCAUUUCUCACACGCGGAUUCACCGUGCUCCACAAUGCAUUCAUCCCUCAGCUUCUUAGUUUCAGGGCAAGCGCAGCAAAUCUUCUUCUUUGGCUUUGAAUCGGGCAUUGUAGAUGCGGCUGACUUCUGAUCUUUUGGAAGUUUCGACAAGGAUAUGGUUGUGGAUGUAUUCUCUAUCGGAAGUCCACCCAUCGUCAAAGAUUACUGGAGGAGUAAGGAAUAACGAUCAACAACGGCUAUCUGAAGGACACUUGAGAACUGAAAUACACACUAAUAUAAGUAAACCAACAGAUAGUCUGUUUGGCCAAACUUCUAAAGUCUGCUUAUUUUGAAAAGAGUUUUUUGUCAGUGUUUUUCGAGAAAGUAUUCCUGGAGAGUAGUAGGGUUGUGUUUGAAUAGUCAAUUUUACAAACAUUUUUGCCAAUAAGAACUUUUAGCUUCCUAAAAACAUGACCAAACAAACUAGAAAGGACCAAAAUAAAUGUAUAAGAAAUGCAUUUUCAAAUUCAACUCAUCAAAACUUCCAGAGGAGGAGAAGAAACCCAAAAGGGUGACUACCGAUAACACUGAUAGAACGUCAAAUUUAACCAAUUUCAUCAAUCUAAUAAUCUAUUAUGGAGUCCACAAAAUAGUGUUACUGCACUUACCUUCACAUGAAGUAAUCAAGAGCUGAUUAAACAUGAGCAAUCAAGCACAGCUAGUGCUGAAGGAGUCCUUUUUUAGAUGCUUAACCACAAUUCUUAAGAAUAUAAGUGGAGAAAGAUAUUACAAGUAUUAGGAUUCCCUUUUUUUCCACAUCACUUACAUGUCGAACAACAUGCACUUGUUAUUAAAAGAAAUCCUCAAUAAUCAUUAAAAAGAUUCUGGUGGGUUCUACACUAGUAAAACAAUUUCAAAACAUAUAGAGCUUCCAGAAACAGAAUCUCUUUUUCUAUCACCCCCACCCCCCUCCCCGCGCUCUUUUGGUACCCUUUUCCAGCUCAUAAUUCAUAUCACUACAAAAAGACUCACAUCUAAGUGUGCAUAAGUUUUUUGGAACCUUUUAUAUAUGAGUUCAUCGGUUUACCUAAAUGAUAAUUAUAUUAUCCUAGAAAAAAGAGUUUUCUCAUGCGAAGGCUAAAAGAUAAGAGAGCCAAGCUUUUUCCUGGGGGGAAAAAAUGUCUGAGAACUAUCAGAGUAAAGAUUAACUCUAACUGCACACCAACUAUCAAAAAGAGCUUUUCCAUUCACCUUUUAUUUCAUCUUCUAUCUAGCCAAAUGAUAACUAAUCUUCCCACUACAUAAGUUCUUUCAUACUAACAUAUUUCUCCAACAAAGAUGUAAUCUCAAACACAUUCACAAGAUGCACAAAUGAAGUCGUUGAUGACAUUACAGUGUCGUGCUACAUUCUAGCUCAAAGAGCGUUGUCUAUUAGGACUUUCAACAAUUAAGCAAUAGUAUGCCAAGUGUCAACUAAAUUACUAAUCAUUCCACAUGACGUGUCAGACACUAUACAUAAUGAAAUAGAAAAGGUGAAGUGAAAAUUAUUCAACAAAAGAAGUGUGUAUUCAGUGAGAAUUUGUGAGAUUUUCUAGCUUUAUGAAAAAUGCCGCUUUACAAUGCAAAUUUCCUGAUCAGGUGACUUCAAUCAAUCAAUCAACUACUUCUAAAAUCCAAAUGGGUAGCGUCAGCUAUAUGAAUCUUCUAUAUCACUUCCGCUCUUCCAUUAUGGUCUCCUAAAACAAAUUUUACGUACUCUGAAACUAGAUGCUCCUUAAAAUUAGAGUGCCGCUCAAUCAAUCACAAUUGUGGGGGAAAAAACAUAUGGAGAAGUCAUAAUUGUUUGGAUAACAAAUUAUUCACACAGACAUUUCUAUACUGCAAUUAAAAAGGAUAAAAAACAUCUUCACUUGGGAGAAUAAUUUGAAUUUAAAAAUGCUUAAAAUGAUGAACAGCAGGUGUUCAUUGUCCAUAUUUCAGCAAAUAGUGCUGCUGUCUAAUUUCCUUAACACAAAACAUGGAUCAAAAUUCAGAACAUGAUGGAAAAAGAAAAAAAAAACAUUUGGAAGAAACAAAAGAGAAUACACUUCUUUGUUUUUUUAAUGAUAGUGUUAUCUGGUCUAGCUUCCGUGCAUCUCAACUAAUUCCACGAGGUACCUGCUAACUCCCACUAGCAAAGGUAUCGAGCAACUUCAUCCACCAAGGGCUGAACAAAAUAGAAUGAAAUCACCUAAUGUUUAUUGCCUCUAGUGGGGUUUAAACCUGAGACCUCAUGAUUUUCAAUCCACUUCCUUAACUAUUAGGCAUCCUUGGGUGCAGAAAGAUAAUAUGUUUCUACAAAAUUAAGAGCAAAAAAAGAUUCUACUGAGCUGGUGUUCUGUGUCAUAUAUUUAAAGAUUAAGUUUUAAAAGGGUGGUUAGACUGACUAUGUUAUGUGGGAAAGAGUGUUGGCCAGUCAAAAAUUCUCAUGUCUAGAAGAUGAGAGUAGAAUUGAUGUAGGAUGUUGAUGUGGAUGUGUGAGCAUACAAGGAGAGAUAAAAUUAAGAAUGAAGAUAUUUGGGUCACGCUUGUGACAAAAGAGAAGAGUGGAUGUGCCGGUAAGAAAACACGAGAGGUUGGCUGAUUGAAGGCUUGAGGAGGGGUAGAAUUAGGCCUAAGAAGUACUGAAAUGGGUAAUCAGGUAAGACAUGACGCAACUUCAACAUAAGAGGGUGUGGAGAUCAAGGAUAAGGAUAAAUGUUAGUAGGUUGACGAGUGUUCUGCUUUCCAAUUCUCCAACGUAUUAGUAUUAGUCUUAAUUUUUGUAUUCUUAGAUUUCUAUUUCUAUCUGUUGAUUCCUUAGCCUCGAUUACUAUUUUCUCUUAUACCGGAAAAAUCUUCCCUACCUUCUCAAGGUAAUUUUUCAAGUUAGGGGUAAGGUCAUAGUACACACUACCCUUCUUACACCUCACUUGUGGGAUUACACUGAAUUUGUUCUUGUUGCUCAAGAGACAAAAAUUACCUCCAACAGCACUAGUGGUUAGCUCAAUUAGAAGAGGUUGAUGGACUUGUGUCUUAAGCCACAAGUUCAAGCCCUCGACCAAGUGAACUAAACCCACUAUUUAAAUAGAGAAUGCUAAGAGGGGCAAACUCAUAAUCUUCUGAGUUUCGAUGGUUAAGAUUAGCUCAAAGUACUGACAAGUUUCACAAUCAUUAAGGUCUGCGUACACUCUAGCCUCCAUAGACUGCACUUGUAAUUUUAAUAUUGUAUUACACAAUGACCAAUUGAUUUCAAAUUCCACCUCUGCUCCUAGACAUGUAUUUCUGACUUUGUUUCAUGAGGAAAAAUAUGUAAUCAAAACGCUUAGGGUUCUAGAAUCAAAGUGAUAAAAUUAAAUGUUGAAGUUUUUUAAAAAACAUUUAAGUGAUCAUCGACCAAAAGCGAUAAUAAAAUGUAUCAGGUAAUUCCAUACUAAUAUAUCACAUAUCUGUACCUAAUAACACCAAACCCAACUAAAUUUACUUGCUUGAUUUUCGAAGUUAUCUAACCAUCGUGGUUUAAAAAAGUCAUUCGAAUAAUUGACUACCCAAUUGUCAUCAUAGCCCUCAAAUUCAGGCUCUUCUCUUUUCAGAAUGAAACUACUCACAAACACAUGACAUUAAAUUGAAAAUCGUUAGGAAGUACACAAUAUGCACUCAAACAUAAGAAUAAGUACAUCCCUAAGCUUUAAUCGAGUGAUAAGAGAGCAUGUGAUGUCCAAGUUAUGCACACAACGAGGUUCAAAGUUUAAAUCUUAUCACAAACAAAAGUCUUCUACUUAAGCUAUGCACAAAACAAGGUCCCACCCCUCUAUUGUUCACUUAAGUAGAAGACUUUUGUUUGUGAUCAGAUUCAAACUUUGAACCUUGUUGUGUGCAUAACUUGCACAUCACAUGCUCUCUUAUCACUCGAUUAAAGCCUAGGGAUAUACUUAUCCUUAUAUUUGAGUGCAUAUUGUAUACUUCCUAACGGUUUUCAAUUUACUAUCAGGUGGUUGUGAGUAGCUUCAUUCCGAAAAGGGAAGAGCCUAAAUUUGAGGGUUAUGAUGACAAUUGAGUAGUCAAUUAUUCGAAUGACUUUUUUUAAACCCAAUGGGUAGAUAUUGUUUUGAACUUCAAAAAUCGAGCAACUAAAUUUAGUUGAGUUUGGUGUUAUUUGGUACAAACAUGUAGUAUAUUAGUAUGGAAUUACCUAAUACAUUUUAUAGACGCUUUUGGUCUAUAUUCACUUAAAUGUUUUUUAAAAAAAACUUAAAUGUUAGUACGUAGUCAAGCGUUCUGUUUUCCUAUUCCAAUGUAUUAGUAUUAGUCUUGUAUUUUCGUAUUCCUAGAUUUCUAAUUCUAUCAGUUUAUUCCUUAGCCUCGAUUACUGUAUUCUUUUGUUUUUGUUCUAACUUGUUGCUAUUGAUGUCUUUUCAUUUAUUUUAGGCUGAGGUUCAAUCAAAAACAUCUUCUCUAUCUUUUCAAGGUAUAGGCAAGGUUUGCGACACACUACCCUUCUCGAACCCCACAUUUGGGAUUAUACAAGGUUUGUUGUUGUUGCUUAAGAGACGAAAAUUACCUCCAACGACCCAGUGGCUAGCUCAAUUAGCAAAGGUUGAUGGACUUGUGUCUUUAGGCCACAAGUUCACAUUUUUCUUAGUUAUUGGCAAGUUUCAAGGUCAUUAAGGUCUGCGUACACUUUACACUCUAUAGAUCGCACUACAACAUGGACCAAUUGAUUUCAAAUUCAAUUUCUGCUCGUUGGCAUCUAUUUCUGACUUUGUUUCAUUAGAAAAAAUAAGUAAUCAAAACGCUUAGGGUUCUAAAAUCAAAGUGACGGAGCACACAACAGCACAAAUAUUGAUAGGAGGGUGUGGUGGUCGAAAAUAAGGAUCUAAUGUUAGUAGGUAGUUAAGUGUUUUGUUUUCCUAUCCCUAGUGUAUUAGUAUUAGUCUUGUAUUUUCAUAUUCUUAGAUUCUGAUUCUAAUUCCUUUUAACUGUAUUCUCUUGUUUUUGUUUUAACUUGUUGCUAUUGAUGUCAUUUGUUUUGAGCUGAGGUUCUAUCGAAAACAUCUUCUCUACCUUCUCAAGGUAUGGGUAAGGUGAGCGUACACACUACCCUUCCUGGACCCCACUUGUGGGAUAACACUGAGUAUUAACUUGUUGUUCAAGAGACAAAAGUUACCUCCAACAGCACUAGUGGUUAGCUCAAUUAGCAAAGAUUGAUGGACUUGUAAGUUCAAGUCCUCAACCAAGUGUACUAAAUCCACAAUUUAAAUAGAGAACGCUAAGAGAGGCGAACUUGUCAUCUUAUGAGUUUCGAAAGUUACGAUUAGCUCAAAGUACGGGCACAUUUCACAAUCAUUAAGGUCUACGUACACUCUAGCCUUCAUAGAUUGCACUUGUAGGUUUAAUAUUGUAUCACACAAUGGACCAAUUGAUUUCAAAUUCCACCUCUGCUCCUAGACAUGUAUUUCUGACUCUGUUUCAUGAGAAAAAAUAUGUAAUCAAAACACUUAGGGUUCUAGAAUCAAAGUGAUAAAAUUAAAUGUUUAAGUUAUAAAAAAAAAUUUAAGUGAACACAGACCAAAAGCGACAAUAAAGCAUCAGGUAAUUCCAUACUAAUAUAUCACAUAUCUGUACCUAAUAACACCAAACCCAACUAAAUUUACUUGCUUGAUUUUCGAAGUUAUCUAACCAUUGUGGUUUAAAAAAGUCGUUCGAAUAAUUGACUACCCAAUUGUCAUCAUAGCCCUCAAAUUCAGGCUCUUCUCUUUUCAGAAUGAAACUACUCACAAACACAUGACAUUAAAUUGAAAAUCGUUAGGAAGUACACAAUAUGCACUCAAACAUAAGGAUAAGUACAUCCCUAAGCUUUAAUCGAGUGAUAAGAGAGCAUGUGAUGUCCAAGUUAUGCACACAACGAGGUUCAAAGUUUAAAUCUUAUCACAAACAAAAGUCUUCUACUUAAGCUAUGCACAAAACAAGGUCCCACCCCUCUAUUGUUCACUUAAGUAGAAGACUUUUGUUUGUGAUCAGAUUCAAACUUUGAACCUUGUUGUGUGCAUAACUUGCACAUCACAUGCUCUCUUAUCACUCGAUUAAAGCCUAGGCAUAUACUUAUCCUUAUAUUUGAGUGCAUAUUGUAUACUUCCUAACGGUUUUCAAUUUACUAUCAGGUGGUUGUGAGUAGCUUCAUUCCGAAAAAGGAAGAGCCUAAAUUUGAGGGCUAUGAUGACAAUUGAGUAGUCAAUUAUUCGAAUGACUUUUUUUAAACCACAAUGGUUAGAUAUUGUUUUAAACUUCAAAAAUCGAGCAACUACAUUUAGUUGAGUUUGGUGUUAUUUGGUACAAACAUGUAGUAUAUUAGUAUGGAAUUACCUAAUACAUUUUAUAGACGCUUUUGGUCUAUUCACUUAAAUGUUUUUUUUAUAACUUAAAUGUUAGUACGUAGUCAAGCGUUCUGUUUUCCUAUUCCAAUGUAUUAGUAUUAGUCUUGUAUUUUCGUAUUCUUAGAUUUCUAAUUCUAUCAGUUUAUUCCUUAGCCUCGAUUACUGUAUUCUUUUGUUUUUGUUCUAACUUGUUGCUAUUGAUGUCUUUUCAUUUGUUUUAGGCUGAGGUUCAAUUGAAAACAUCUUCUCUAUCUUUUCAAGGUAUAGGCAAGGUUUGCGACACACUACCCUUCUCGAACCCCACAUUUGGGAUUAUACAUGGUUUGUUGUUGUUGCUCAAGAGACGAAAAUUACCUCCAACGACCCAGUGGCUAGCUCAAUUAGCAAAGGUUGAUGGACUUGUGUCUUUAGGCCACAAGUUCACAUUUGUCUUAGUUAUUGGCAAGUUUCAAGGUCAUUAAGGUCUGCGUACACUUUACACUCUAUAGAUCGCACUACAACAUGGACCAAUUGAUUUCAAAUUCAAUUUCUGCUCGUUGACAUCUAUUUCUGACUUUGUUUCAUUAGAAAAAAUAAGUAAUCAAAACGCUUAGGGUUCUAAAAUCAAAGUGACGGAGCACACAAAAGCACAAAUAUUGAUAGGAGGGUGUGGUGGUCGAAAAUAAGGAUCUAAUGUUAGUAGGUAGUUAAGUGUUUUGUUUUCCUAUCCCUAGUGUAUUAGUAUUAGUCUUGUAUUUUCAUAUUCUUAGAUUCUGAUUCUAAUUCCUUUUAACUGUAUUCUCUUGUUUUUGUUUGAACUUGUUGCUAUUGAUGUCAUUUGUUUUGAGCUAAGGUUCUAUCGAAAACAUCUUCUCUACCUUCUCAAGGUAUGGGUAAGGUGAGCGUACACACUACCCUUCCCGGACCGCACUUGUGGGAUAACACUGAGUAUUAUGUUGUUGUUCAAGAGACAAAAAUUACCUCCAACAGCACUAGUGGUUAGCUCAAUUAGCAAAGAUUGAUGGACUUGUAAGUUCAAGUCCUCAACCAAGUGAACUAAAUCCACAAUUUAAAUAGAGAAUGCUAAGAGAGGCGAACUUGUCAUCUUCUGAGUUUCGAAGGUUACGAUUAGCUCAAAGUACGGGCACAUUUCACAAUCAUUAAGGUCUACGUACAUUCCAACCUUCAUAGAUUGCACUUGUAGGUUUAAUAUUGUAUUACACAAUGGACCAAUUGAUUUCAAAUUCCACCUCUGCUCCUAGACAUGUAUUUCUGACUUUGUUUCAUGAGAAAAAAUAUGUAAUUAAAACACUUAGGGUUCUAGAAUCAAAGUGAUAAAAUUAAAUGUUUAGUUAUAAAAAAAAAAUUAGGUGAACACAGACCAAAAGCGACAAUAAAGUAUCAGGUAAUUCUAUACUAAUAUAUUACAUAUCUGUACCUAAUAACACCAAACCCAACUAAAUUUACUUGCUCGAUUUUCGAAGUUAUCUAACCAUUGUGGUAUAAAAAAAGUCAUUCGAAUAAUUGACUACCCAAUUGUCAUCAUAGCCCUCAAAUUCAGGCUCUUCUCUUUUCAGAAUGAAACUACUCACAAACACAUGACAGUAAAUUGAAAAUUGUUAGGAAGUACACAAUAUGUACUCAAACAUAAGUAUAAGUACAUCCCUAAGCUUUAAUCGAGUGAUAAGAAAGCAUGUGAUGUCCAAGUUAUGCACACGAAGAGGUUCAAAAUUUAAAUCUUAGCACAAACAAAAGUCUUCUACUUAAGCUAUGCACAAAACAAGGUUCCACCCCUCUAUUGUUCACUUAAGUAGAAGACUUUUGUUUGUGAUCAGAUUCAAACUUUGAACCUUGUUGUGUGCAUAACUUGCACAUCACAUGCUCUCUUAUCACUCGAUUAAAGCCUAGGGAUAUACUUAUCCUUAUAUUUGAGUGCAUAUUGUAUACUUCCUAACGGUUUCAAUUUACUAUCAGGUGGUUGUGAGUAGCUUCAUUCCGAAAAGGGAAGAGCCUGAAUUUGAGGGCUAUGAUGACAAUUGAAUAGUCAAUUAUUCGAAUGACUUUUGUCAAACCACAAUGGUUAGAUAUUGUUUUAAACUUCGAAAAUCGAGCAACUAAAUUUAGUUGAGUUUGGUGUUAUUUGGUACAAACAUGUAGUAUAUUAGUAUGGAAUUACCUAAUACAUUUUAUAGACGCUUUUGGUCUAUAUUCACUUAAAUGUUUUUUUUAUAACUUAAAUGUUAGUACGUAGUCAAGCGUUCUGUUUUCCUAUUCCAAUGUAUUAGUAUUAGUCUUGUAUUUUCGUAUUCUUAGAUUUCUAAUUCUAUCAGUUUAUUCCUUAGCCUCGAUUACUGUAUUCUUUUGUUUUUGUUCUAACUUGUUGCUAUUGAUGUCUUAUCAUUUGUUUUAGGCUGAGGUUCAAUCGAAAACAUCUUCUCUAUCUUUUCAAGGUAUGGGCAAGAUUUGCGACACACUACCCUUCUCGAACCCCACAUUUGGGAUUAUACAGGGUUUGUUGUUGUUGUUCAAGAGACGAAAAUUACCUCCAACGACCCAGUGGCUAGCUUAAUUAGCAAAGGUUGAUGGACUUGUGUCUUUAGGCCACAAGUUCACAUUUUUCUUAGUUAUUGGCAAGUUUCAAGGUCAUUAAGGUCUGCGUACACUCUACACUCCAUAGAUCGCACUACAACAUGGACCAAUUGAUUUCAAAUUCAAUCUCUGCUCGUUGGCAUCUAUUUCUGACUUUGUUUCAUUAGAAAAAAUAAGUAAUCAAAACGCUUAGGGUUCUAAAAUCAAAGUGACGGAGCACACAAAAGCACAAAUAUUGAUAGGAGGGUGUGGUGGUCGAAAAUAAGGAUCUAAUGUUAGUAGGUAGUUAAGUGUUUAGUUUUACUAUUCCUAGUGUAUUAGUAUUAGUCUUGUAUUUUCGUACUCUUAGAUUAUAAUUCUAUCAGUUGAUUCCUUAUAACUGUAUUCUCUUGUUUUUGAUUUAACUUGUCGCUAUUGAUGUCAUUUGUUUUGAGCUGAGGUUCUACCGAAAACAUCUUCUCUACCUUCUCAAGGUAUGGGUAAGGUGAGCGUACACACUACCCUUCCUGGACCCCACUUGUGGGAUAACACUGAGUAGUAUGUUGUUGUUCAAGAGACAAAAAUCACCUCCAACACCACUAGUGGUUAGCUCAAUUAGCAAAGGUUAAUGGACUUGUGUCUUAAGUCACAAGUUCAAGCCCUCAACCAAGUGAACUAAAUCCACAAUUUAAAUAGAGAAUGCUAAGAGAGGCGAACUUAUCAUCUUCUGAGUUUCGAUGGUUACGAUUAGCUCAAUGUACUGGAAAAUUUCACAGUCAUUUAAGGUAUGCGUACAGUCUAGCCUCCAUAGAUGACACAUCAAGGUUUAUUUUUGUAUUACACAACCGACCAAUUUAUUUCAAAUUCCAUCUCUGCUCCUAGGCAUACUUUGUUUCAUCGGAAAAAAUCAGUAAUCAAAACACUUAGGGUUCUAAAAUCAAAGUGAAGGAGCACACAAAAACACAAAUUCAAGGGUUUAAUUGAGUUAUCGGAGUUAAAAAUCAC
RNAcentral lists this long non-coding RNA (34567 nucleotides) under Solanum lycopersicum (tomato). RNAcentral's name for it is "long non-coding RNA (SLYC_LNC000733)". Lineage: Eukaryota; Viridiplantae; Streptophyta; Magnoliopsida; Solanales; Solanaceae. The record is from RNAcentral.